Molecule: long non-coding RNA, 894 nt
Filed under: Gallus gallus (chicken)
Lineage: Eukaryota; Metazoa; Chordata; Aves; Galliformes; Phasianidae
Description: lncRNA (ENSGALG00010015600.1)
Source: RNAcentral
UGGUUCACAGCAGACUCAAGUUGAAGUGUGCAGGAGGCAAAGCACUGCACAUGGCAACGACCUCGUGUAUCUUGCAUCACAGAUCAGAGAUAUUUACUUUUUCUCAGCUACGUGACCCUGAAUUAGCAGCUACAGUGGCACAAGCACCAUUGCUAUGGUUACUGUCACAUAAUGUCAUCUUUCUGAGGCUCCAAAGCCACUUACAGGUGUGAGAGGUCAGUCAGUAAUGAUUUCAGUAUAGAAGUGCAAUACUUUUGUCUGAGAAAGGGUGACGAGAAAGGCAGCAGGGGUUAAACCCAAAGAAGCAAACAAAGUGGUGGAAAGCAAAGACUGGCAAUGAGUACAUUUCCUGCCACACCAGAAGAUAUCGAUCCUGUACGUUCAAUGGUUUCCUUCACUCUUUAAACACUGCAGAUUGUGUAAUAUCACGUUGCUUUUAACUUCAUACUUUAAAUCAGACAUCUUAGCUAAAAAGAAUUGAUCAAACAAGAUAUGUCCUCAACCUGCCUCUGUAUAAAGACAUGCAGCCUGACAAGGUUUAAUCUCUUUCUCUUGUGUGGUCUCAGUGUGUGUCAUCUCAGUUCUCCUGGCUUGCUGAGUGCUUCUGAGUACAAACACAGAACCAACAUCCCUCAGGAGAUUGCAAACUUUUUAGGGAACUCAAAAGAGCAAGCGCCGCAGAUGUUGGAAAAGAGAGUGGAGUUGGUCUGAUUUUGCUUCUCUUUUAGGAAAGCCAGUUCAUGCUUUGCCUAGCAGAUUUCUAUUUCAGCUUACACUAAUUCGGCGCACCAAUGGGUUAAAAGAGUACGGGCACAGCGCCCAAAAUGGCGCCGGCCGACGAACGGCGCUCGCGCAGCCCCAACUCUCGCGAGACGACGGCGGGAGCAGGCAGAG